Molecule: ribosomal RNA, 489 nt
Filed under: Triticum aestivum (bread wheat)
Lineage: Eukaryota; Viridiplantae; Streptophyta; Magnoliopsida; Poales; Poaceae
Description: partial small subunit ribosomal RNA
Source: RNAcentral
AUGAAAACAACAAGAAUAUUGGUUUCCUAUGCUGCAAACUUAGGGUGGAAGUUGCAUCAAUUAGAUGUCAAGAGUGCCUUCUUGCAUGGUGAGCUGCGGGAAGAAGUGUACAUGGGGAUACCACCAGGUUUUGGUACUUCAGAAACCACGAGGAAGGUAUGCAGGCUGAAGAAAUCCUUGUAUGGACUGACACAAUCAGUGAGGGCAUGGUUUGAUAGGUUCAAGCGUGCUGUCUGCAGUAUGGGUUAUGGUCAGCAUAACGGUGACCGCAUGAUGUUCUGCAGACACUCUUAUCGGAAGAUUACCAUUCUUGCAUUUAUGUGGAUGACAUUAUCAUCACUGGAGAUGAUAAGGAGGAAAGAGAUAUUGAAGGGGUGUCUAAGCAAGGAGUUUGAGGUAAAGGAUUUGGGCUGCCUAAAAUACUUCCUUGGCGUUGAAGAAGGGCAUAUCUUUGUGCCAACAGAAAUACACCUUGGAUCUCUUGAGUGA